This 253-nucleotide ribosomal RNA is filed under the name uncultured bacterium. RNAcentral describes it as "partial 16S ribosomal RNA". It matches the Rfam family "Bacterial small subunit ribosomal RNA", at positions 524 to 776 of the family's 1533-position model. The record is from RNAcentral.
UACAUAGGUGGCAAGCGUUGUUCGGAAUUACUGGGCGUAAAGGGCGCGUAGGCGGCCAUCUAAGUCAGACGUGAAAUCCCCCGGCUUAACCUGGGAACUGCGUCUGAUACUGGACGGCUCGAGUUUGGGAGAGGGAUGCAGAAUUCCAGGUGUAGCGGUGAAAUGCGUAGAUAUCUGGAGGAAUACCGGUGGCGAAGGCGGCAUCCUGGACCAACACUGACGCUGAGGCGCGAAAGCUAGGGGAGCAAACGGG